ACAAGGAUUCCUCUAGUAACGGCGAGCGAACGAGGAAAAGCCCAGCACCGAAUCCUGUAUCGUUGUGAUACUAGGAAAUGUGGUGUUUAGGCCGUGCUUUGUGCCGGUAUGAUUCUCCUCAAGUCCACUUGAUUGUGGCUUCAGGCCCAGAGAGGGUGUAAGGCCCGUGGAGGCGAGUCGUCCGGUGCCCGGCACGUCCUUCGAGUCGGGUUGUUUGGGAAUGCAGCCCAAAGCGGGUGGUAAACUCCAUCCAAGGCUAAAUACUAGCACGAGUCCGAUAGCGAAGAAGUACCGCGAGGGAAAGUUGAAAAGAACUUUGAAGAGAGAGUUCAAGAGUACGUGAAACCGCUGAGAGGCAAACUGGUGGAGCUGAAAUGGUCUUGAGGAAUUCAGCCCUUCCUGCUAGAGUUGCGUUCGGUUGUGAGAUCUCACGACUCCGCCGGGCGCAUCUUCGUGCGGGAUAGGUGCACUUUCCUCUUGAUCGGACCACGACCAGCGACUUGACUUGUCUGACAUAAGUGGAAGGUAGCGUCUACUUCGGUAGACGUGUUAUAGCCGCUUAUUCGGCGCUAUAUGAGCAAGGCGUUGGAUGGAAUGUUGGCGCUUGCCCCUAAGGGCUCGUACGUUGUCUCUUUCAGGCGUGUCGCCGGCUUCACUGCCUUUGGCAGGGGUGUUGGAGACGUGUCGGUUAGCGGCGGCCUCUGCGAUUGGCGUCGAAAGUCUGUGGUUAUGAAGUAGGCAGUCCACCUGACCCGUCUUGAAACACGGACCAAGGAGUCUAACAUGUGCGCGAGUCAUUGGGCAAUACGAAACCUAAAGGCGCAGUGAAAGUAAAGAUCCAUUUUGUUGGAUUGAGGUGGGAUCCUGAGUCACGUGCUCGGGCGCACUACCGGCCCGUUCGUCAUGUCUUCAUGCGGGCGGAGCAAGAGCGUACACGUUGGGACCCGAAAGAUGGUGAACUAUGCUUGCGCAGGUCGAAGCCAGAGGAAACUCUGGUGGAGGACCGUAGCGAUU
This 1014-nucleotide ribosomal RNA is filed under the name Comoplana pusilla. RNAcentral's name for it is "partial 28S ribosomal RNA". It matches the Rfam family "Eukaryotic large subunit ribosomal RNA", at positions 68 to 885 of the family's 3401-position model. Lineage: Eukaryota; Metazoa; Platyhelminthes; Polycladida; Stylochoplanidae. The record is from RNAcentral.